UGGGGAAUUUUGGACAAUGGGGGAAACCCUGAUCCAGCCAUCCCGCGUGUGCGAUGAAGGCCUUCGGGUUGUAAAGCACUUUUGGCAGGAAAGAAACGUCAUGGGUUAAUACCCCGUGAAACUGACGGUACCUGCAGAAUAAGCACCGGCUAACUACGUGCCAGCAGCCGCGGUAAUACGUAGGGUGCAAGCGUUAAUCGGAAUUACUGGGCGUAAAGCGUGCGCAGGCGGUUCGGAAAGAAAGAUGUGAAAUCCCAGAGCUCAACUUUGGAACUGCAUUUUUAACUACCGGGCUAGAGUGUGUCAGAGGGAGGUGGAAUUCCGCGUGUAGCAGUGAAAUGCGUAGAUAUGCGGAGGAACACCGAUGGCGAAGGCAGCCUACUGGGAUAACACUGACGCUCAUGCACGAAAGCGUGGGGAGCAAACAGG
RNAcentral lists this ribosomal RNA (429 nucleotides) under Acidobacteriota bacterium. RNAcentral's name for it is "Acidobacteria bacterium partial 16S ribosomal RNA". It matches the Rfam family "Bacterial small subunit ribosomal RNA", at positions 355 to 776 of the family's 1533-position model. Lineage: Bacteria; Pseudomonadati; Acidobacteriota. The record is from RNAcentral.